RNAcentral lists this ribosomal RNA (408 nucleotides) under uncultured bacterium. Its description in RNAcentral is "partial 16S ribosomal RNA". It matches the Rfam family "Bacterial small subunit ribosomal RNA", at positions 28 to 526 of the family's 1533-position model. The record is from RNAcentral.
GACGAACGCUGGCGGCGUGCCUAAUACAUGCACGUAGAACGCCGUUGCGAACGGGUGAGUAACGCGUAGGUAACCUGCCUCAUAGCGGGGGAUAACUAUUGGAAACGAUAGCUAAUACCGCAUACUGUGAGAUGGACCUGCGUGGUAUGAGCUAGUUGGUGAGGUAAAGGCUCACCAAGGCGACGAUACAUAGCCGACCUGAGAGGGUGAUCGGACACACUGGGACUGAGAAACGGCCCAGACUCCUACGAGACGCAGCAGUGGGGAAGUUUGGACAAUGGGGGAAUCUCUGAUCCAGCCAUCCCCCGGGUGGGAUGAAGGCCUUCGGGUUGUAAAGCACGUGUGGCAGGCAAGCGGUACCUGCAGAAUAAGCACCGGCUAACUCCGUGCCAGCAGCCGCGGUAAUUC